AGGGAAUAUUGCGCAAUGGGGGAAACCCUGACGCAGCGACGCCGCGUGAAGGAAGAAGGUCUUCGGAUCGUAAACUUCUUUGACUGGGGACGAAAGUAAUGACGGUACCCAGGGAACAAGCCACGGCUAACUACGUGCCAGCAGCCGCGGUAAUACGUAGGUGGCGAGCGUUGUCCGGAAUUACUGGGUGUAAAGGGCGUGUAGGCGGGAGAGCAAGUCAGAUGUGAAAGCCCAAGGCUCAACUUUGGGACUGCAUCUGAAACUGUGUUUCUUGAGUACUGGAGAGGGAAGCGGAAUUCCUAGUGUAGCGGUGAAAUGCGUAGAGAUUAGGAGGAACACCAGUGGCGAAGGCGGCUUCCUGGACAGAGACUGACGCUGAGGCGCGAAAGCGUGGGGAGCGAAC
RNAcentral lists this ribosomal RNA (403 nucleotides) under uncultured bacterium. RNAcentral's name for it is "bacterial SSU rRNA". It matches the Rfam family "Bacterial small subunit ribosomal RNA", at positions 356 to 773 of the family's 1533-position model. The record is from RNAcentral.